RNAcentral lists this ribosomal RNA (485 nucleotides) under uncultured bacterium. Its description in RNAcentral is "partial 16S ribosomal RNA". It matches the Rfam family "Bacterial small subunit ribosomal RNA", at positions 28 to 507 of the family's 1533-position model. The record is from RNAcentral.
GAUGAACGCUAGCGAUAGGCUUAACACAUGCAAGUCGAGGGGCAGCGAGGGUAGCAAUACCUGUCGGCGACCGGCGCACGGGUGAGUAACGCGUAUGUAACCUGCCCGCAACAGGGGGAUAACCCGGCGAAAGUCGGACUAAUACCGCAUAAAACAGGGGUCCCGCAUGGGAAUAUUUGUUAAAGAUUUAUCGGUUGCGGAUGGGCAUGCGUACCAUUAGGUAGUUGGUGAGGUAACGGCUCACCAAGCCUUCGAUGGUUAGGGGUUCUGAGAGGAAGGUCCCCGACACUGGUACUGAGACACGGACCAGACUCCUACGGGAGGCAGCAGUGAGGAAUAUUGGUCAAUGGGCGAGAGCCUGAACCAGCCAAGUCGCGUGAAGGAUGACUGCCCUAUGGGUUGUAAACUUCUUUUACAAGGGAAUAAAAUGAGAUACGUGUAUUUUAUUGAAUGUACCUGGGGAAUAAGCAUCGGCUAACUCCGUG